GCAAAGUGCAGCGCAGCUGCACCUAUGGUUGCCCUGCUGUGAAAUCCUUCUCCUCCAGAGCUUAAAUUUAAAACACGUUUAAUAAAUGAGUUAAAAAUCAUUUCUUUGUAUAAAGCUCACAUGUCUAAAAAAGCUCAAUUCACAUGAUAAAUUUUUAUUUAAAUGAAAUUUUAUAUAAAUUGUUUAAAGAAUUAAAAUAUUU
This 202-nucleotide unclassified non-coding RNA is filed under the name Hevea brasiliensis (rubber tree). The record is from RNAcentral. Lineage: Eukaryota; Viridiplantae; Streptophyta; Magnoliopsida; Malpighiales; Euphorbiaceae.